This 2416-nucleotide long non-coding RNA is filed under the name Portunus trituberculatus (swimming crab). Its description in RNAcentral is "uncharacterized LOC123519547". The record is from RNAcentral. Lineage: Eukaryota; Metazoa; Arthropoda; Malacostraca; Decapoda; Portunidae.
UCUGGCAUCUGUGUCGCGCCCCCGCCACCAACACAGCCGCCACCGCCGCCGCUUCCACCGCCGCCGCCGCCGCCGGGCCCAGCGUGCUCCCAGCCAGUCUUUCGCCACGAGUCUUGCAUCGUGCGCCGACACCCCGCGUCCGCCCCGUAGACAGACAGAUAGAUAGAUAGACUCACCACAGAAAGCUUAGCGUAGAUCAAGAAGAAUAUUUUUGCAUAAAAUUCCAGCAUUUUUUUGUAAGGUUGUGAAGGUAGAAAGAAAUUAAUAGAAGAAUCUUAGUAUUUUACAUCGAGAAAAGCAUUAAACAAAAAAAGAGAGAAAAAAUAAACCACAUGAAACUUUUUUAUCUUCAGUAUUAAAAAGUAAAAAAAAAUAGAGAAAGUUUACAUAGAUAUUUUUUGAAGAAGUGAAGACUAUAGAUAGAUAUAUAAUAGAGAGAGAGAGAGACAGAUCAUAUAUAUUUCCAUAAAACUGUAGUGAAAGAGUGAGAAACAAAAAAAAAAAAAAGAGGAACGAUAUAUAUUUGUAUUUUUGAAGGAACAUACAACAAAUAAUGUAAAAGUAGAAGAAAAAAAAAAAAAAACUGUGAACUUAAACAUACAAUAGAAAAAAAAAAACUAAGAAAUUGAAAUGAAAAAAAGAUGAAGCGAGUGUAGUAAAGGAAAAUUAAUGAAGUAACAGGAAUAAAGAACUUGUGAGAAAAUAGAGAUAAAUGUAGAAAUAGAAACACUUGAUCACGCGAACCAGAACUCAAAGAAGCGAUGAUUGAUGAAAAGGAAGCAGAAUAAGAACGAGAAGAUCAAGAUUUGUGAGUAAAGGAAGGGAGGAGAAUGAAGCGUCAGAGUGAGGAACGUUAGUGCAUUCAUGAAUCAAAUUUAGUGGUAAUAGAGAGUGGUUACUGAGGAAGACAUUGAAUAAACUUAUUAAAAAAGGACUAAUGAAUGAAGGAAGGAAGAAAUAGUGAACAAAAGACAGAUGAAUGAGCGAGGCAAGUGUAUUGGAAGACUAACAAUAUCAAUUCAUACAAAUUAGAAAACAGUAACGAAUGAAGGGAGAAAUAGUGAACAAAAUACAGAUGAAUGAGAGAAGCAAAUAUAUUGGAAGGUUAACAGUAUCAAAUCAUGCAAAUUGAGGUUGAAACUCAGCACAAAUAAAUAAAAAAGAGAGAAAAAAUAGAAGAAAAUAAGGAAUGAAAGUAAUAAUAACACGAAACAGAAAUAAGAAGUGUGUGAAAAGAUAAACAACUUUGUACCAUGCAAACUGAAAUGAAGUGAUAAAAAAACAGAUGAAUUUAAAACCACACGAGUGAAAUGAAAGGAGAAAUUAGAAAAACAAGGAAUAAGAAUUGAAGGCAAGGAAUUAUUGGCAGGAAGGAAAGAUGACGAGAGUGUAUUGAGAGACAUGAGAACCUUAAAUGAUACACACUGACACAAAACUAAAAUAAACAUCUCUACAGACCCACACGGCUGAAAUAAAAAAAAAAAUCUGCAUAAAAUUAAGAAAUGAAUGUAGAAACUAUCAACUAACAAACUAAGAAGCAGACAAACUUUGGAGGCACUCAAUUUAAAAGAUAAAUAAAAAGAAACACUAUUUUAAAACACCUACAAUGACACUGAACCUUCACCGGACCACAGACAACACGCACGAGGAAAAGAACCCUACAAAACACCCCAAAUAAAACAUUCCCAGCCCCAAAACCAAAGAAGCUGAAUAUCCUUUGAAAAAUCAGAAGGAAAACACAAGAGGAGAAGAAAAAAGAAAGAUGAUUCAGAGGCAGAGAGCGAAAACAAACGAGGUUGAGACGUGAAAUCUUUGUAACAGGAAAGAGUAGCAAGUGUUUUGAGAGCUUGCACUAAAGGGAGAGAGAGAGAGAAAGGAGUUAGAGAAGAAAAGUUAACGAAAUAAGCAGCAAUUUAAGUUUUUUGUAAUAAGAAAGAGUAGCAAGGGUUUAGAGAGCUCAGCGUGCAGGAGAACGAAAGAGGAGGAUAAAAUAACAUUGAAAAGAAAAAAAAAUCUCCAAGGAAUAAAUAAAAGAGGGAAUUACUAAAAGAAAAGGAUAAAAGGACAUCCAAACGAGACAGAUAAAGACAUAUAAGCAAAAACACCAAAAAAUUAGAAGAGAAAACCCCUUUGUAAACAUAAAAAAGAGAGAGAAAAACGAGAAAAAAAAAAGACAGAAGACAUAUCAAAUUUAGAAGAGAACCCCGUCACUCACUCUCAGGAAAAGGAAAGAAAACGGGGGUCACAAGCUUCAAGUCGAGUAUAGGAGAGAACAAAACCUUUCAUCUGUAGGGAAGAGGAAGAAAAAACGCCACAACCAAUUGGAGAGGAGAAAAACAACCCCUUGAAGGUACACAGGAAGGAAAAAAAAUACAAGACUUCAGGUUAAACAGAGAAGCAACAUAUUUCUCCAAGG